Molecule: ribosomal RNA, 374 nt
Filed under: uncultured eukaryote
Lineage: Eukaryota
Description: partial 18S ribosomal RNA
Rfam family: Eukaryotic small subunit ribosomal RNA
Source: RNAcentral
CAAGAGCGUAUGUAAAAGUUGUUGCAGUCAAAAAGCUCGUAGUUGAACCUUGGGUUUGGUUGGCCGGUCCGCUUUUUUGCGAGUACUGGAUUCAACCGAGCCUUUCCUUCUGGCUAACCAGUCGUUUCGGCGGCUGGCGAACCAGGAUUUUUACUUUGAGAAAAUUAGAGUGUUCAAAGCAGGCAUUAGCUUGAAUAUAUUAGCAUGGAAUAAUAGAAUAGGACGUUAUGGUUCUAUUUUGUUGGUUUCUAGGACCAUCGUAAUGAUUAAUAGGGACGGUCGGGGGCAUCAGUAUUCAGUUGUCAGAGGUGAAAUUCUUGGAUUUACUGAAGACUAACUACUGCGAAAGCAUUUGCCAAGGACGUUUUCAUUAA